UGUGCAUGUCAGUAUUGGUAACUUGCGUAAUUCUAAAACGUUUCCUGUAAGUCAUCUUUUAAAGAAGUCUAGUCUUGUUCAUCUGCAAAACAGAAAAAACCGGGGUUCACUCUCAACGCUUUUACUAAUGUGUGGAGUAAAACAAUAUAGCCAGCUGGCCGUGGUCUGCAUUUGAAGUCUUGGAGGUUGAGACGGAGUACCUUCCAUCUUCUUUUACUGAAAACUGAAAUAUUAAAGGUUACUCCUGCCAACUUUAAGUCUACUAGAAU
This is a long non-coding RNA of Zootermopsis nevadensis, 269 nucleotides long. RefSeq lists it as uncharacterized. NCBI's taxonomy places the organism in Eukaryota, Metazoa, Arthropoda, Insecta, Blattodea, Termopsidae. The record is from RefSeq and is a predicted model, not a curated record.